UUUUUUUUUUUUUUGCUAUGCCCCCAUCCCCUCCGAGAGAAAUAUUAAGUUGUAAAAACGAUUCAUCGCCUGUUACCGGUCCUGCAUCUUUCCCCCUGCCCUCUUAAACCACCGCUCUCCCUAAAAACCGAGAGAUAAAACCCGACCCAGACAAGUCUUCAGAGCAGGUAUUUCACUCAAAUAGUUCACGGCAGUAAAAGCGAUUCUUUAAACCGGUAUCCACCCCCAGGGCUCCCAGUUUGAGCACCACACGUGGGUGUUCGUUUUCAGGGUGACUGCCGAGGGUUAAAUUGACAGUCCUUUCCAGCCUCUGAUUUGCAGGUAAAUACCUACUUAUACAAAUUAUAAGGAAAAUAUUGUCUAUAAUAAUAUAUAAUAUGAUGUAUAUUAUAUAUUAUGUAUAUUAUAUAGUAAAUCUUAUGUAUAAUCUAUUAUCUAUUAUACAUAGUAAUAUGUAGCAUAUUAGACAUAUAAAAUAUAUAUAAGAACACUGACAAAAUAAAUCCUGAGGUCCUCAUCUGCCCCCCUCUUUCUACAUCCAACCGCAGGAUAAACCCCGAGUCUCUGUGGAAUGGCUCCAGUUCAGCCCCGGGGAUCCGGCUCCCGAAGAAGCAGCUCUUCUUCAGGACCAUCCAUUACAAACCGAAAUAAAAUCGAUUUGGGAAUGGAGGGGAAUGGCGGGGGGGAGCUGGAAGAAGGUGUUUUGGGUUGAAUAUUUCCUUUUGCUAAUUUCUGAUGCUGCAACUAUAGAACUAAGGUAGAAAAUAAUCCUGUAUUGUGAAUACGAACAUCACUCCCAAUCCAUAUAUAAGAGUAUAUAUGUAAGAGUAUAUAUAUGUACACACUCGCAUCCACAUAUACAUAAGUGAAAAGUACAGUAACACAGCAAGGGGAGGAAGAAGAAGAAGAGAGUUUCCUCAUAUUGAAGUCUUACAGAAAAUUUUGUUUUAAUGGCUAAUACUUUGAAAAGAAAAAGAUUUAGUCCUAAUUCAGCUGGUAAAAGCAAAAUGAAACAGAAGUUCACAUUAACAUGACGUGAGGUUUAUUAUAGGUCUGCUUAGAAUGAAGAGGUAAGAGUGGUAAAAAUAUGGACACUUUUGAGUCAGACAGAAAUAAAAUACCCACAUUUCUGAGAAGCAAUAUUUAUUGUCUUUUUUUUUUUUUUUUAGUGUAGAGACAUGUCCUGAAUUUCCCCAAAGCCUAGAUUGGGAAAAUAAAGACUUCUUGGUGUUAUAAGUAAAUCCGUCUGCAGAAUCGAA
This 1259-nucleotide long non-coding RNA is filed under the name Strigops habroptila (Kakapo). Its description in RNAcentral is "lncRNA (ENSSHBG00005012210.1)". Lineage: Eukaryota; Metazoa; Chordata; Aves; Psittaciformes; Psittacidae. The record is from RNAcentral.